Molecule: ribosomal RNA, 253 nt
Filed under: uncultured bacterium
Lineage: Bacteria
Description: partial 16S ribosomal RNA
Rfam family: Bacterial small subunit ribosomal RNA
Source: RNAcentral
GACGAACCGUGCAAACGUUAUUCGGAAUCACUGGGCUUAAAGGGCGCGUAGGCGGCAUAGCAAGUCCGGGGUGAAAGCCCCCGGCUCAACCGGGGAAGUGCCUUGGAAACUGCUGUGCUCGAGGGAGGUAGGGGUCGAGGGAACUUCUGGUGGAGCGGUGAAAUGCGUUGAUAUCAGAAGGAACGCCGGUGGCGAAAGCGCUCGACUGGACCUUUUCUGACGCUGAGGCGCGAAAGCUAGGGGAGCAAACGGG